UAAGAUCCCUCAAAGAUGAUGAGGUUAAUAGGUUCGGGGUGUAAGCGCAGUAAUGUGUGUAGCUGACGAAUACUAAUCGAUCGAAGACUUAAUCAA
This 96-nucleotide ribosomal RNA is filed under the name Mammaliicoccus sciuri. RNAcentral's name for it is "partial 23S ribosomal RNA". It matches the Rfam family "Bacterial large subunit ribosomal RNA", at positions 2828 to 2925 of the family's 2925-position model. The record is from RNAcentral. Lineage: Bacteria; Bacillati; Bacillota; Bacilli; Caryophanales; Staphylococcaceae.